Molecule: transfer RNA, 74 nt
Filed under: Bucorvus leadbeateri (southern ground hornbill)
Lineage: Eukaryota; Metazoa; Chordata; Aves; Bucerotiformes; Bucorvidae
Description: tRNA-Phe
Source: RNAcentral
GUCCACGUAGCUUACACACACCUAAAGCGUGGCACUGAAGAUGCCAAGACGGCCGCUAACCCGCACCCGAGGAC